GAUGAACGCUGGCGGCGUGCCUAAUACAUGCAAGUCGAGCGAACAGACGAGGAGCUUGCUCCUCUGACGUUAGCGGCGGACGGGUGAGUAACACGUGGAUAACCUACCUAUAAGACUGGGAUAACUUCGGGAAACCGGAGCUAAUACCGGAUAAUAUAUUGAACCGCAUGGUUCAAUAGUGAAAGACGGUUUCGCUGUCACUUAUAGAUGGAUCCGCGCCGCAUUAGCUAGUUGGUAAGGUAACGGCUUACCAAGGCGACGAUGCGUAGCCGACCUGAGAGGGUGAUCGGCCACACUGGAACUGAGACGCGGUCCAGACUCCUACGGGAGGCAGCAGUGGGAAAUCUUCCGCAAGGGGCGAAAGCCUGACGGAGCAACGCCGGGGGGUGGAUGAAGGGCUUCGGAUCGUAAAACCCUGUUAUUAGGGAAGAACAAAUGGGUAAGUAACUAUGCACGUCUUGACGGUACCAAAACAAAAAGCCACGGCUAACUACGU
This 496-nucleotide ribosomal RNA is filed under the name uncultured bacterium. Its description in RNAcentral is "partial 16S ribosomal RNA". It matches the Rfam family "Bacterial small subunit ribosomal RNA", at positions 28 to 506 of the family's 1533-position model. The record is from RNAcentral.